CUGGAGUCGCUGAGCUGGUUCGGUCGGUAAGUCCCUUGGUACGCUCAGGUUAGCCUGUCAGGGUGAAGGUAGUGGAUUUUUCUUAUGAAGCGUCUUCCUUCGGCACCCUAGGAUUUUAAGUCUAGUUAUAACUUUCCUUUCACAUGUAGCUGGGCCCCUUGACCUUUCUCGCGGAGAGUCUUACGCUCGUUCUCUAUCUCGUUCCAAGUAUGGUAUUGAACUCGUACCCUGUAGGUCUAGCUACCUGCGCUACGUACCUAAACCUCUUAGUACUUAAUUUUAUUCUAGUGCCAGGCUGGACCAAGCCCUUUUUACCUAGCUUCCCUUGGGUAACGACCUUCUUUUCUUCUCCAACGUAGCUAUGCCUAUGCCCCUUGAAAGCGAUCGCUUCUAGAAUAGAACUCAAAGCCCCGAUGUUUAGUAGAAAGACUUCGGUUUCACAUUGCUAGUUGCGUGUACUUGGAACUUCGAUUGGCUUAGGCGAGCAUGGGCAAUAUCCUAAACUACCUCUCGCGGAUC
Lupinus albus (white lupine) is the source of this 519-nucleotide non-coding RNA. The record is from the annotation of a GenBank genome assembly. NCBI's taxonomy places the organism in Eukaryota, Viridiplantae, Streptophyta, Magnoliopsida, Fabales, Fabaceae.